CUUUCACAUUCGGGAAGCGUCGGGAUUAGGUGAAAGUACGUAGUUGUCUUUCGUAAGUUAAAAUGAUAAUUGGGCCGAAACUUACUGCCUUACCUAAAAGGCAGCGCAGUCAGGAUAUUGGUAGGUCGGGGGCGGCUUUGGAAACCCUUAAGUUUACAAGCAUGCGCGGACUUGAGUGCUCAUUAGGUCGCCGGGCGUCCACGUGCAGCCCUGGACCCUGAACCCCGGCGUGCGUGGGCCGUGGGCCCUCGGGGAAAGGUUCCGUGCACUCGGGGACUCCGGUGAAGCCUGUUCAGCCGUCUGUGUCAUGUGGCCAUCUUGAGUCUACUCUGUCGCUCUUGUGCCCUAGCACCCCGAGAACCGUCAGUUUGAGCCAGAUGACUAUCAAGAAAUCCAAGUGGUAAUGGGCGAAGUUUAUUCAGCAUCCGGCAAUGGACUUAUCGUAGUUGGGGAAACGGGUGUUCCGAAUAAUAUCCUGGAAGUUAUCAGGACACCUAUUUUAAAUAUAGGCCUGAAUUUUGUAAAGUAAUAUUUAAGGUGGUCCGUGAUAAUUAAAUAAAAUGCUUAAUUCAUGUGGCUA
Molecule: long non-coding RNA, 580 nt
Organism: Homo sapiens (human)
Lineage: Eukaryota; Metazoa; Chordata; Mammalia; Primates; Hominidae
Gene: SNHG8
Product: small nucleolar RNA host gene 8
Source: Ensembl